Molecule: long non-coding RNA, 1753 nt
Organism: Bos taurus (domestic cattle)
Lineage: Eukaryota; Metazoa; Chordata; Mammalia; Artiodactyla; Bovidae
Source: Ensembl
GGGACAGGCUACCCACUCCAGUAUUCUUGGGCUUCCCUUGUGGCUCUGCUGGUAAAGAAUCAGCCUGCAAUGCGGAAGACCUGGGUUCAAUCCCGGGGUUAGGAAGAUCCCCUGGAGAAGGGAAAGGUUACCCACUCCAGUAUUGUGGCCUCGAGAAUUCAAAAGCAGGGGACUGAGCAUGCCCCCUGCACUCAAUACCACCAAAGCAGUGGGCAAAACACUGAAGCCACCCCACACCUCCAGCCUGACCCCUGGACACACCCCUAUCCUCACCCCAUAUAAGGAACAGGAUCACCCCACCCCCAGUGAGCAAGCAAGCAAGGAAUCUGUUGUUUGUUCUCACUCACCCCUGCUGCAGCAGGAUCCCCAGUAAAGCAUUGCCUGGGUGGGGGGAAGUGCUUUUAGGUAUGAGGAUUGGAGAGAGGAGUGACUCAUUUUAAUGUGAUUACCAGUUUGAGGGAGGCAGCCCUUCUGAUACCUGUGUGCUCAGAGACUGGGACCAAAUCUCUGCCACAGCUCUUCUCAGAGAAGUGUCACUGUGGCCCCACCACUCUGGGCAACGGCCUAGACAUCUCUUUUCUGUUGGCCACUGGAAGAAUCUCAUCACAAGUCUCAAGAACAAAACAAAUCAAAAAGAGUCUCUGCACUGAAGCUCCUGAAACCUGAACCCUGUCAAGUGCAGCCACAACUCUGUGGACACUCAGGAUCUGCCCGCUGCGGGGCCCUGUGAUGACCAUCUGCUCGGCAGGCAGGAGGGUGACACCGAGGACCUGGAGGCACCAUCGACCUAGGUCCUCAGAAGGGUUCGGGGGGCUCUCUCGCCUCACCGGCCCCUGACGUGCACACCCACACACACAAGCAUCACACACAGCAACUGUGGGCAAGCUCCCUGUGGAAACAGCAACAUCCGAACCUGGGGCCAUGACAAGGCCUCCCAGAGGAGGAAAAGCUCUCCCCACCCAUCCGCCUUGUCUCAGUGCUCACAGUGAGGACUCGGAGUGUCCGAAGAUUCCUGAAUACUGUUCUUGACAGACACCAAAGCGCUCUCCUCCUCCUCCAAACGUGGAGCUCUGGGGCUACCCCCAGGGAAGACGCCUCUGGCAGCGCCCAGCCCUCCGAGCCACUGGGGCCAGCUCCAGGAACACUGAAUUCUGGCCACACUUGCAGCCAGGCCUGGUUACUUUAGAUUCCCUCUCCUCCCCACUUGUCUUUUCAAGCUGGAGCCAGCCAAGGUACAGCCAUAAAAGGAGUGAAGCUUCAUUUGCCCUCUCACUGGGUUUCACCUAAAAGGGCUUUCAGAAAAAUUUCCAGCCUUCUCCUGCGGGACAUUGGAUGCGGUCUCGUUGGCCAAAGAGAAAACGAGUAACAGAUGAAGCUCAUACGGAUGAAGAGGCCAAAACCGAAAUGUUAAUCACCUCAAAAUAUGCGCUGCUCCCUCCAAAACCGCUCUUGGCUCGCCUCAGAGGAUCUCUGAUUGGAGACUUUUCCCCCAGGGGUGGGGGGGUCUGCUGCUGAUAUUCGGGGUUACAUUUGAGGGUCCAAGCUGCAAGAAGAUAAAGAAUUGUCAUUCAGGGCACUUAACGGCCCAUUGUGGUGAUUUGAAAUGGCUGGAGUACUGACCAGCCCCUCUUGGUUAAAAGAAUCCCACUAGGACACUCCCAUAAAAGCUCAAGAUGCUGUCAUCCAAGAUGAAUAAAAAUGCCUCUUUUGAUUCCACUGCAUAUGAAAACAUGAGAUCAUUGGAAUAUAUUUA